Talpa occidentalis (Iberian mole) is the source of this 1550-nucleotide long non-coding RNA. RefSeq lists it as uncharacterized. The record is from RefSeq and is a predicted model, not a curated record. The transcript has 8 exons. NCBI's taxonomy places the organism in Eukaryota, Metazoa, Chordata, Mammalia, Eulipotyphla, Talpidae.
CCGGCCUAUAGUCUGGCAGCCACGUGCUCCAGGCCCUCAGUGGCAGGAAGACGCUAAUUGGGAACAUUUGUGUUUAGGACUUUACAACACUGGACACUGCUUCAUGUGAGGCUCUAACAGCAGCAAAGAUGGGAACAGGUGAAGAAGCUGUGAUUGCUUCUCAACCUUGGACAUGUGCCAGAGACUUGGGGGGACAUGGAAGGAGACACUGGAAACAGACAUGGGCAAUACCACCUUCACAUGAACGAAUGAAUGACAAAAACUGUGGCUAUUUGAUUUGGUUAAUGAGCAGACAUUGUCCUGAAAAUGAGUGUGUGCUCCUUUAAGAAAUCAACUGACAAUUGAUAACUGACAGUAACUUCACCUUGACAAAAUGAGGACAAGGAGGAAGCUACACUCAGGCUGCAACAGCCACAGUCCCAGUGCUCUGAAGUGUAUCUCAGACCUUAAAGGGUAUUAGACAGCCUUCCGUGGGCCUGAGUGUUACAGGAUUUCUUUUCGCCCAUAUUGUGUGGCUUUAUGAUCCCCUGGUUUAAACCUUCACACCUGCAAGAAUGGCCCAUAUCCAAAAGACCAGAAACAACAAGUGCUGGCAAGGAUGAAAAAAGGGGACAGUCGUGCACUGUUUUUGGAUAAAGACGGAGCCAGCCCUUAUGGAAACAGUACGGAGGUUUCUUAAAGAGUGAAUGUGGUUCUGCCAUUGGACCCAGCAAUUCUACACUGAGGAUCUACUCACAGAGGAUAAAUACUCUCCUGUGAAGGGACCUGCACUCCCGUCACCACUGCAGCACUAUUUACAGUAGCCAAGCUAUGGACACCACCUGAAUGCCCCAGACAGCCGCCCUCUCUGUAGUGUCUCUACUCAGCAGUGUUUGAGCAGCCCCAGGAGUCCCUGCACCUCCUGCCUCUGACCUUGAGGGAAACCAGCCCCUCAGCCUGCUUGACAGUGAGGAGGUAAAGGCAAAGUCCUGAGGGGCAGGACCAAUGUGCUAUCCAUAGAAAAGAGAGGUUCCAGGUUACCGCCCUGCCCAAGGAAAGGUGGGGCUGAGCAGGGACGAGAAGCUAAGGAAGAGGAGGAAGACGUGGAGUGAGAUGAGGAAAGGACUGGAGGAGGCGCAUGGAGCAGAGAGACAGGUGAAGAAGAAACCACACUUGCUUCUCACUUGGACUUGUGCCAGGGAGCUGGGGACUUGGAAAGAGACACGUGAAAGACAAAAACGUGAAUGAGAGACCCAUCGGGAGGCUGACCCUUUCCCAUGGGUCUCUACCAGUAGGUGCCUUAGCCUUGUGGCAGGCCUUCGGGCCCCAGUGGGCCUGCUUUGGGCCAAGCCUGUUUGGCUGGGCAUUUACCCAUGAGGGGACGGGUAACUUUGGGUGCUUCACUUGGGAAAUAUUCGAACUAUAUUCUUUCUCUUCUCUCUCUCUACUGCACUGAUUCUCUAUUUUAUAGUAAUUAUAUUAAAGUUCUUUUCCAUUGAAGGUCUUAUGCUUUAGAGUAUGUUUUGUCUUUAUGCAGCUGUUGGCAGAUCCCAUAUAGAGUGUGCGGUUUU